UCCCUGGUGGCUCAGACAGUAAAGAAUCUGCCUGCAAAGCAGAAGACCUAGGUUUGAUCCCUGGGUCGGGAA
RNAcentral lists this transfer RNA (72 nucleotides) under Ovis aries (sheep). It matches the Rfam family "tRNA". Rfam says of the family: Transfer RNA (tRNA) molecules are approximately 80 nucleotides in length. Their secondary structure includes four short double-helical elements and three loops (D, anti-codon, and T loops). Further hydrogen bonds mediate the characteristic L-shaped molecular structure. tRNAs have two regions of fundamental functional importance: the anti-codon, which is responsible for specific mRNA codon recognition, and the 3' end, to which the tRNAs corresponding amino acid is attached (by aminoacyl-tRNA synthetases). tRNAs cope with the degeneracy of the genetic code in two manners: having more than one tRNA (with a specific anti-codon) for a particular amino acid; and 'wobble' base-pairing, i.e. permitting non-standard base-pairing at the 3rd anti-codon position. Lineage: Eukaryota; Metazoa; Chordata; Mammalia; Artiodactyla; Bovidae. The record is from Rfam by way of RNAcentral.